Molecule: small RNA, 144 nt
Filed under: Marmota monax (woodchuck)
Lineage: Eukaryota; Metazoa; Chordata; Mammalia; Rodentia; Sciuridae
Source: RNAcentral
AUCGCUUCUAAGCCUUUUGGCUUAGAUCCAGUGUUUAAAAAAAAAAAAAAAGGAAUCAUGGGAUGAAAAGGCCAGAAUUUUAAGAAGGUCUUCUAAACUUACCUUAGACUAAACUAUGAGUACUUCUUUCCUUUGGAUUUGCAA